RNAcentral lists this ribosomal RNA (651 nucleotides) under Enterobacter sp. RNAcentral's name for it is "bacterial SSU rRNA". It matches the Rfam family "Bacterial small subunit ribosomal RNA", at positions 80 to 727 of the family's 1533-position model. Lineage: Bacteria; Pseudomonadati; Pseudomonadota; Gammaproteobacteria; Enterobacterales; Enterobacteriaceae. The record is from RNAcentral.
GCUCUCGGGUGACGAGUGGCGGACGGGUGAGUAAUGUCUGGGAAACUGCCUGAUGGAGGGGGAUAACUACUGGAAACGGUAGCUAAUACCGCAUAACGUCGCAAGACCAAAGAGGGGGACCUUCGGGCCUCUUGCCAUCAGAUGUGCCCAGAUGGGAUUAGCUAGUAGGUGGGGUAACGGCUCACCUAGGCGACGAUCCCUAGCUGGUCUGAGAGGAUGACCAGCCACACUGGAACUGAGACACGGUCCAGACUCCUACGGGAGGCAGCAGUGGGGAAUAUUGCACAAUGGGCGCAAGCCUGAUGCAGCCAUGCCGCGUGUAUGAAGAAGGCCUUCGGGUUGUAAAGUACUUUCAGCGGGGAGGAAGGUGUUGAGGUUAAUAACCUUGGCAAUUGACGUUACCCGCAGAAGAAGCACCGGCUAACUCCGUGCCAGCAGCCGCGGUAAUACGGAGGGUGCAAGCGUUAAUCGGAAUUACUGGGCGUAAAGCGCACGCAGGCGGUCUGUCAAGUCGGAUGUGAAAUCCCCGGGCUCAACCUGGGAACUGCAUUCGAAACUGGCAGGCUAGAGUCUUGUAGAGGGGGGUAGAAUUCCAGGUGUAGCGGUGAAAUGCGUAGAGAUCUGGAGGAAUACCGGUGGCGAAGGCGGCCC